GGAGGGGGGCUAGCGUUGUUCGGAAUUACUGGGCGUAAAGGGGGGCACGUAGGCGGGGCCAGCCAGUCAGGGCGUGAAAGCCCCGGGCUUAACCUGGGAACUGCGUUUGAUACUGCUGGUCUUGAGUCCGGGAGAGGGUAGUGGAAUUCCCAGUGUAGAGGUGAAAUUCGUAGAUAUUGGGAAGAACACCGGUGGCGAAGGCGGCUACCUGGACCGGUACUGACGCUAAGGUGCGAAAGCGUGGGGAGCAAACAGGAUUAGAUACCCUGGUAGUCCACGCCGUAAACGAUGAGUGCUAGAUGUCGGGAGGCUUAGCCUUUCGGUGUCGCAGCUAACGCGUUAAGCACUCCGCCUGGGGAGUACGGCCGCAAGGUUA
Molecule: ribosomal RNA, 376 nt
Filed under: uncultured organism
Description: partial 16S ribosomal RNA
Rfam family: Bacterial small subunit ribosomal RNA
Source: RNAcentral